Molecule: RNA transcript, 1726 nt
Organism: Sorex araneus (European shrew)
Lineage: Eukaryota; Metazoa; Chordata; Mammalia; Eulipotyphla; Soricidae
Gene: MTCP1
Gene name: mature T cell proliferation 1
Exons: 5
Source: RefSeq, a predicted model, not a curated record
CAUUUGGGUAAGGAGAAAGGGGUCUGAAAGAAGGGGGUGCUCUAAGGCAGUGGCUCUCCAAGUGGCUUGCUCACGGGAAUCACCUGAGCUGACUUAGCAUGCCUGCAGAUGGGGCUCCAGCCGCAGAAUAUUCUGCUAUCAGGCCACGGUUGUGGUUUGGCCCUGACCGUAUCACUAGGAAUAUCAGAGAAGAACUGUGAGAGCCCUCUGAGCCGUUCACAGGAGCAUUUGGGAACAGGCUCCACUGUGCCCGACCCGGAGCCACUUGGGGCCAGUGCGCAGCCCAAGCAUGAUGCUCUGAGCAGUCACUAAGAUCAGAUCGCGGCUUCAGUCUCCACGGGCAUUUCCUCCUGUCACUUUAAGGAAAGGAAAGGUUGGUGUGAGAGAAAGAAGGCAGUAGACUCAGCUGGCAUGCAGGAGGACCUGGUUUCCACCCCCAGCAGUGCUAUAUACGUCUAUACAUGUGUGGUUCUGUUCCCCCUAACAUGAAAGCCCCCUUCUGGAAAUGCUCACCCGCUCUAAUUAACCUUUCUAACUAACCUGAUCUGUGUCGUUUGAACUUCAUACAAGUUUUUAAUAUUAAUUCAGAAAGCCAUCCACAGGUGUCCACUUUCACAUUUUUUUGAGCCCCACCUGGCAGUGCUCAGGGCUGACUCCUGGCAGGGCUCAGGGGACCAUUUGGGGUCCCAUAAAUCAAACCCAGGCCAACUGCAUGCAAGGCAAGGCAAACACCCUACCUGCUGUACUAUCACUCCAGCCCCUUGUAUCUCACCGUUUAAGAUGGCAGCUGCUGCCUGGAAGUGGCUUUGCCCUAGAACCCUGGCAUGCUCGUGUCUGUCAUUUGCUUUCCUGCCUGAGUAGAUGUGUUCAUCGGCAUACCUUGUGCUUAUGGCUAAGUCCAUGUUGUCAGAGGCUGCUUUGGGAACACAAACACAGACUAUGGCCAGCUGCCUCCAGUUUGGUCCUACGUGGCUACAGAACUCGGCCGAACUCUCAGCGCUUCACAGUCCACAGUUAGCAUUACCCGAGGCUCUGAGUAUCACUCCAGUGUCUUGCAGGCAGCCUUGAGACGUUCUCAGUUCUAUUUAUGCUGUGCAGGAAAAUAUAGCCAAGGUUUGAUUCUGGUUAGUGGCUGCUAGUACCAGAUCACCUUGCUCACGAACUGGUGAGUUUCCUCAAAGCCAACAAGUCACACCUGUGUCCUGUGCGCGGGUGCUGCAGGCUUAGGUGGAGAAAAGCAGGGCUAGAAUUGGAACCCACAGCCCAGGAUGGCAGGAGAGGAUGUGGGGGCUCCACCGGAUCGCCUCUGGGUUCACCAAGAGGGCAUCUACCGAGACGAAUACCAGCGCACGUGGGUGGCCGUCGUGGAAGAGGAGACGGAUGCCCUAAGGGCACGAGUCCAGCAAGUUCAGGUGCCCUUAGGUGACGCAGCUAGGCCAAGUCACCUCCUCACUUCCCAGCUACCUCUCAUGUGGCAACUCUACCCCCACGAGCGCUACAUGGAUAACAACUCGCGCUUGUGGCAGAUCCAGCAUCACUUAAUGGUUAGGGGCGUACAGGAGCUGUUGCUUAAGCUUUUGCCUGAUGAUUAACCUGGGGCUGGGAUUCUCAGAAGAUAUGCUCCUCUGUUCUGUUCAGUAUAUGGCAACUACUUCGUCCACCACUGCAGUUCACCCACCCGUGGGCCUUUGGGAGGGAUUUUCUGGAUAUGCCGCAGAAGGAUCCG